GGGACAGCUCUGGGAUGGUGGGGCAAGGGCACACACUGGAGACGCCAGCAAGGCAGAAGGCUCCCAGGCGAGCCGCCAAGGCCCGCGGGCGGCGAGGGUCGCGGCCGGCCCGCGAGCUGGGGGAGGUGAGGCCUGAGUGACAGGGUGCGGGGCCAGGACGGGCAGGCGGAGGGUAAGGGGACGGGGCGCGGCGGCCGCGAUACUCACACCUCCAGGAUGCGGUCCCCCUUGCGCACCCCGGCCCGGUCGGCCGCCCCCCCGGGCAGCACGGCGCUCACAUGCUGCAGCGGCGCGUACAGCUCCCCGUUGAUGCUCCGCAGUUGCCCGCCCUCGCUCACUUGGCCCCGCACGUUGAAGCCGUAGCCGGACUCGGACUUGACGAUGCGCACGACCCGCGGGCCGCCGCCUCCCCCGCCGCCGUUGCCGGCGCAGUGGAGCCCAGACCCCCCGCCGCCGCCUCCAUUCCGCUUUGUGCUGCUCUGAAGUCUCUUCGUCCAAGGCCUAGCUGAAGUCUCCCUCCAGUGUCCCUGAAGACUCCAGCUAUACCUGACAUUUCCCUUUCGAAAUUCCUGAGGCUAAUACAGUUCCAGACGACCCCUAGUGAGUCAUGCUCUUGUGUAACCCCCCUCCCUUGAAGAUGUGAGCUCUCAGCUAUUGCACCAGUGC
This is a long non-coding RNA of Onychomys torridus (southern grasshopper mouse), 666 nucleotides long. RefSeq lists it as uncharacterized. NCBI's taxonomy places the organism in Eukaryota, Metazoa, Chordata, Mammalia, Rodentia, Cricetidae. The record is from RefSeq and is a predicted model, not a curated record. The transcript is spliced from 3 exons.